Long non-coding RNA from Prunus avium (sweet cherry), 645 nucleotides. RefSeq lists it as uncharacterized. The record is from RefSeq and is a predicted model, not a curated record. NCBI's taxonomy places the organism in Eukaryota, Viridiplantae, Streptophyta, Magnoliopsida, Rosales, Rosaceae.
CAAUUUAUUGAAAGGCUUUGCUACUUCAACAAAAAACAAUCGGUUUGCCCAAAAAAAUUUAAAAGAAAAACGCAAAGCCGGUCUUCUCUCCACCCUAAAAAAAAUCGUCUACUCUUGUCUCAACCCAUGGCUCGCUAGCUCGCUCCAAGAAACAAGGAUGAAAAACUCGUUGGAAAGCUGUGAACCGGAGAACAACAGUAAUGCUGGCCGAAGUGAUACUUUGGUGACUAUUUGGGCUCUAUUCUUCUAAUUCUUAAUGUGUCGUCAUGCAUGGUGUGAUAUUUCCCCUCUUUCCCAAAUUGAAAUGGUUCAACCGGCAAUCUGCAGGUAUCUACAGUUUACUGUUGAUGAUAUUACAAAGGCAAGGAAGUUAGUGUGCCGCACGCUGGAUGAUGAUAAUAGGUUUACAAAGUUCAUCGUCAGAAUAUUAAUGAGCCAGCUUGCACUUUGUCAAGAGGAUGCUGGUGGUGAAGAUGUCGUUGGGACAUCGCCGUGAGGAGAUGUAUUUGGAGAUGGGGAUCCAUUUAAUGGAUGGAGAUUUUUGAAGAAGACAAGUAAAAGAGACGUUUGAUGCCUUCAAUUUUGAGCGUCUUGUCUGAUUUAAGUGUAUUUCUUCUAAUGAAAUAUCGCAAGUUUCAACUCCAA